CGAUAGUGGGGGAUAACCUGGGGAAACCCAGGCUAAUACCGCAUACGUCCUACGGGAGAAAGGGGGCUCCGGCUCCCGCUAUGGGAUGAGCCUAUGUCGGAUUAGCUAGUUGGUGAGGUAACGGCUCACCAAGGCCACGAUCCGUAGCUGGUCUGAGAGGAUGAUCAGCCACAUCGGGACUGAGACACGGCCCGAACUCCUACGGGAGGCAGCAGUGGGGAAUAUUGGACAAUGGGGGCAACCCUGAUCCAGCCAUGCCGCGUGUGUGAAGAAGGCCCUCGGGUUGUAAAGCACUUUCAGCGAGGAAGAACGCCUAGCGGUUAAUACCCGCUAGGAAAGACAUCACUCGCAGAAGAAGCACCGGCUAACUCCGUGCCAGCAGCCGCGGUAAUACGGAGGGUGCAAGCGUUAAUCGGAAUUACUGGGCGUAAAGCGCGCGUAGGCGGCUUGAUAAGCCGGUUGUGAAAGCCCCGGGCUCAACCUGGGAACGGCAUCCGGAACUGUCAAGCUAGAGUGCAGGAGAGGAAGGUAGAAUUCCCGGUGUAGCGGUGAAAUGCGUAGAGAUCGGGAGGAGUACCAGUGGCGAAGGCGGCCUUCUGGACUGACACUGACACUGAGGUGCGAAAGCGUGGGUAGCAAACAGGAUUAGAUACCCUGGUAGUCCACGCCGUAAACGAUGUCGACCAGCCGUUGGGUGCCUAGCGCCCUUUAUGGCGAAGUAAACGCGAUAAGUCGACCGCCUGGGGAGUACGGCCGCAAGGUUAAAACUCAAAUGAAUUGACGGGGGCCCGCACAAGCGGUGGAGCAUGUGGUUUAAUUCGAUGCAACGCGAAGAACCUUACCUACUCUUGACAUCCUGCGAAUUUGGUAGAGAUACCUUAGUGCCUUCGGGAACGCAGAGACAGGUGCUGCAUGGCUGUCGCCAGCUCGUGUUGUGAAAUGUUGAGUUAAGUCCCGUAACGAGCGCAACCCUUGUCCUUAUUUGCCAGCGCGUAAUGGCGGGAACUCUAAGGAGACUGCCGGUGACAAACCGGAGGAAGGUGGGGACGACGUCAAGUCAUCAUGGCCCUUACGAGUAGGGCUACACACGUGCUACAAUGGUCGGUACAAAGGGUUGCCAACUCGCGAGAGUGAGCCAAUCCCGAAAAGCCGAUCUCAGUCCGGAUCGGAGUCUGCAACUCGACUCCGUGAAGUCGGAAUCGCUAGUAAUCGUGGAUCAGAAUGCCACGGUGAAUACGUUCCCGGGCCUUGUACACACCGCC
This 1262-nucleotide ribosomal RNA is filed under the name uncultured Halomonas sp. Its description in RNAcentral is "bacterial SSU rRNA". It matches the Rfam family "Bacterial small subunit ribosomal RNA", at positions 131 to 1394 of the family's 1533-position model. The record is from RNAcentral. Lineage: Bacteria; Pseudomonadati; Pseudomonadota; Gammaproteobacteria; Oceanospirillales; Halomonadaceae.